Molecule: transfer RNA, 85 nt
Filed under: Pleodorina starrii
Lineage: Eukaryota; Viridiplantae; Chlorophyta; Chlorophyceae; Chlamydomonadales; Volvocaceae
Rfam family: tRNA
About the family: Transfer RNA (tRNA) molecules are approximately 80 nucleotides in length. Their secondary structure includes four short double-helical elements and three loops (D, anti-codon, and T loops).
Source: Rfam by way of RNAcentral
CCGAUCUUAGCUCAGCUGGAAGAGCGAAGGACUGUAAUUGUGCAGAGACAUCCAUAGGUCGCCUGUUCGAUCCAGGUAGAUCGGA